Epinephelus fuscoguttatus (brown-marbled grouper) is the source of this 671-nucleotide long non-coding RNA. RefSeq lists it as uncharacterized. NCBI's taxonomy places the organism in Eukaryota, Metazoa, Chordata, Actinopteri, Perciformes, Serranidae. The transcript has 3 exons. The record is from RefSeq and is a predicted model, not a curated record.
UCUCUCUCUCUUCCUCUCUCGAAACAAUGCUGCACUUAAGUGAGCCACCAAAAUCUGGGUUGCGAGUCAUUUUGGCACCGGUCGUAUAGGAGCCCCUGAAGUUUUGGUAACAAACCCUACACUUGAUUGGGAUCCAGAGCUUACUGGGAAACUACAUCAGGCACUGAAAUCUUACUCCUGGUUCGACAGGUGGCCCUGUAGUGAUCUGGGUUCAUCAGCAGGUGGUCAGCCAUCUGAUCUGCAGUGUGAGGCUUGUAUUCACAGUUAGAGCACUGCAGCAGGAACACACUGAAACACACAAUAAAAAAGGAGCGCAGGACCUGAGAGCAAUUUGGCAGGAGAGAAUCAAAGGGAGCUGAGGGGCAGAUUGGGGGAGACACAGAGACACAUGCCCGCAACAGCCCAGCAGAUGUCGUGGGUGAUAGUUGUCAUUCCUGCCUUGUUCCCUAGCACCAUUUACCUUGUUGGGUUUUGUUAAAUUUGUCUGGGUUUGAGAUGGCUGGUGGUUCCAUUUAGUUUAGUUUAGGGGGAUGAACUGGGUGCUAUGGCUCGCUGAGUGGCUGCACAGCGACUUCCACAUCUUUUAUUUCUUUUGGCCGGGAUCUCCAACUCCCUUUGUUUCUUUAUGCUCUAAGUCUGAUUCCGAUUUUGCAAACAAUAAAAUAUGCUGA